Erinaceus europaeus (western European hedgehog) is the source of this 402-nucleotide long non-coding RNA. RefSeq lists it as uncharacterized. The record is from RefSeq and is a predicted model, not a curated record. The transcript is spliced from 2 exons. Lineage: Eukaryota; Metazoa; Chordata; Mammalia; Eulipotyphla; Erinaceidae.
CCCAGGCGUUGCUUCACCUUGUAGCCGGGGUCGUACUCAGGAUCAUCUGUGGUCUCCUCCUCCUCUUCCUCCUCCUCAUCUUCUUCUGAGUCCGGCUCUGAGAGAGUGUAUUCCGAGUCAGAGGAAUGUUCAGGGCCUGGAGAGAGGUCCUCUUCAUCUUCUUCCAAGCUGGCAUAGCCUCCAGUCUCAGCUGGCUCACGGGUCUCUGUCAUGGCCAGGGGAGGGGACAGGAGACAGGAGCAGAGCAGCAGCUGAGCAGUGUCCCUCCCCGGCCAGUUCUCUGCAGCCACACCUCUGGCCACAAGCUGCUUACGCAGGAUGUCAGCAGGUGGAGAGGGAUGCUGGGCGGGAGAAAUGAAAGGCCUGUGGUAACAUAAUAAAUUUAUACAUAGCAUCUGCCUC